GUUAACGUUGCUUUAGCAACGGCCCGAAGGGCGAGGCGAAGCCGAGUCAUCCUGCACGACCCACCA
This 66-nucleotide small RNA is filed under the name Salmonella enterica. RNAcentral describes it as "partial RtT sRNA". It matches the Rfam family "RtT RNA", at positions 60 to 130 of the family's 130-position model. Rfam says of the family: This family represents a bacterial cis-regulatory element known as RtT RNA. The exact function of RtT is unknown although it is thought that it may be involved in changing the cellular response in relation to amino acid starvation. Lineage: Bacteria; Pseudomonadati; Pseudomonadota; Gammaproteobacteria; Enterobacterales; Enterobacteriaceae. RNAcentral also lists the same sequence under 1 other name. The record is from RNAcentral.